This 508-nucleotide ribosomal RNA is filed under the name Caridina serratirostris. RNAcentral describes it as "partial 16S ribosomal RNA". It matches the Rfam family "Bacterial large subunit ribosomal RNA", at positions 1822 to 2597 of the family's 2925-position model. Lineage: Eukaryota; Metazoa; Arthropoda; Malacostraca; Decapoda; Atyidae. The record is from RNAcentral.
UAUAUGGUGGAUAAAUAUAUAGUCUAGCCUGCCCACUGAGAGGUUUAAAGGGCCGCGGUAUUUUGACCGUGCUAAGGUAGCAUAAUAAAUAGUCUUUUAAUUGAGGUCUGGUAUGAAUGGUUGGACAUGAAGCUAGCUGUUUCGGUUAUAUAGGUUGAAUUUUACCUUUAAGUGAAAAGGCUUAAAUUUGGUGAAGGGACGAUAAGACCCUAUAAAGCUUUAUAUUUUGUAUGGGAAUUAAGGGGUAUUGGGUUCCUUAUAUUACCAAGCAAAGUAUUUCGUUGGGGCGACGGGAAUAUAAUAGGUAACUGUUCUUAAUAUAAAAUAAGUAUGGUUAGUAAGGUUGAUCCUUUUUAGAGAUUAUAAGAGUUAAGUUACUUUAGGGAUAACAGCGUAAUUUUUUUUGAGAGUUCAUAUCGACAAAAAUAGUUGCGACCUCGAUGUUGAAUUAAGAUAUUUCUAAGGUGUAGAAGCUUUAGUAGUGGGUCUGUUCGACCUUUAAAAUCUU